UUCUGUGUAUACAGUGAUUAAGCACAUAGGUUCUGGAGCCAGUCUGUUUCUUUCAAAAUCACCUCAUUGCUUUUGAAGAAUCAGGGAAACCCCCAUGAGACUACAGGUGUGAAGCAAGAUAGAAGCAUCAGUGCAAAAGAGAUUCUCUUACUGAGAUACCUUGGAACAUGGUUUGAAUAAUAUUGCUCUAACUUCUUUCAUGUCAGGAAGCUCUGAGAUGCAGAAACACAGAAAGGAAGAGGAUUAGCAACUUUCCCAGAUCUGAGUUGAGCUGAGAUUUGAGUCAAGGCAAUAUUGCUUCUGGGGCUGUAACAACUACAUUUUAUUGUCUCCUGAACAGAUACUUCCUUUUCUUACUUAAUAAGAAUAGACCUUGGAGGUCUGGACCUGGACAUGAACGUACACUUUUCUAAAGAAGAUAUACACAUGGCCAACAAGCAUGUGAAAAAAAGCUCAA
RNAcentral lists this long non-coding RNA (457 nucleotides) under Homo sapiens (human). RNAcentral describes it as "HSALNT0341902". Lineage: Eukaryota; Metazoa; Chordata; Mammalia; Primates; Hominidae. The record is from RNAcentral.